UACCUGCAGAAGAAGCCCCGGCUAACUACGUGCCAGCAGCCGCGGUAAUACGUAGGGCGCAAGCGUUGUCCGGAAUUAUUGGGCGUAAAGAGCUCGUAGGCGGCUUGUCGCGUCUGCUGUGAAAGCCCGGGGCUUAACUCCGGGUGUGCAGUGGGUACGGGCAGGCUAGAGUGCAGUAGGGGUAACUGGAAUUCCUGGUGUAGCGGUGAAAUGCGCAGAUAUCAGGAGGAACACCGAUGGCGAAGGCAGGUUACUGGGCUGUUACUGACGCUGAGGAGCGAAAGCAUGGGGAGCGAACAGGAUUAGAUACCCUGGUAGUCCAUGCCGUAAACGUUGGGCACUAGGUGUGGGGGACAUUCCACGUUUUCCGCGCCGUAACUAACGCAUUAAGUGCCCCGCCUGGGGAGUACGGCCGCAAGGCUAAAACUCAAAGGAAUUGACGGGGGCCCGCACAAGCGGCGGAGCAUGCGGAUUAAUUCGAUGCAACGCGAAGAACCUUACCAAGGCUUGACAUACACCGGAUCGUUCCAGAGAUGGUUCUUCCCUUUUGGGCUGGUGUACAGGUGGUGCAUGGUUGUCGUCAGCUCGUGUCGUGAGAUGUUGGGUUAAGUCCCGCAACGAGCGCAACCCUCGUUCUAUGUUGCCAGCACGUGAUGGUGGGGACUCAUAGGAGACUGCCGGGGUCAACUCGGAGGAAGGUGGGGAUGACGUCAAAUCAUCAUGCCCCUUAUGUCUUGGGCUUCACGCAUGCUACAAUGGCCGGUACAAUGGGUUGCGAUACUGUGAGGUGGAGCUAAUCCCAAAAAGCCGGUCUCAGUUCGGAUUGGGGUCUGCAACUCGACCCCAUGAAGUCGGAGUCGCUAGUAAUCGCAGAUCAGCAACGCUGCGGUGAAUACGUUCCCGGGCCUUGUACACACCGCCCGUCAAGUCACGAAAGUUGGUAACACCC
This 949-nucleotide ribosomal RNA is filed under the name Kocuria sp. PJC10. Its description in RNAcentral is "bacterial SSU rRNA". It matches the Rfam family "Bacterial small subunit ribosomal RNA", at positions 476 to 1422 of the family's 1533-position model. Lineage: Bacteria; Bacillati; Actinomycetota; Actinomycetes; Micrococcales; Micrococcaceae. The record is from RNAcentral.